This is a non-coding RNA of Triticum aestivum (bread wheat), 97 nucleotides long. The record is from Rfam. NCBI's taxonomy places the organism in Eukaryota, Viridiplantae, Streptophyta, Magnoliopsida, Poales, Poaceae.
AGAGCAUUUGUGAUGUGCUUCCUCUGUAUUCAUCCUUGCACUUUGAGCUAAGGUUUACCAGUGAAGGAAGCAUUGGGGAUAAUAUUCUGAGAUGCUC